UACGAAGGGGGCUAGCGUUGCUCGGAAUCACUGGGCGUAAAGCGCACGUAGGCGGAUCCUUAAGUCGGGGGUGAAACCCUGGAGCUCAACUCCAGAACUGCCUUCGAUACUGAGGAUCUCGAGUCCGGGAGAGGUGAGUGGAACUGCGAGUGUAGAGGUGAAAUUCGUAGAUAUUCGCAAGAACACCAGUGGCGAAGGCGGCUCACUGGCCCGGUACUGACGCUGAGGUGCGAAAGCGUGGGGAGCAAACAGG
Molecule: ribosomal RNA, 253 nt
Filed under: uncultured bacterium
Lineage: Bacteria
Description: partial 16S ribosomal RNA
Rfam family: Bacterial small subunit ribosomal RNA
Source: RNAcentral